RNAcentral lists this ribosomal RNA (656 nucleotides) under Vibrio cyclitrophicus. Its description in RNAcentral is "bacterial LSU rRNA". It matches the Rfam family "Bacterial large subunit ribosomal RNA", at positions 1155 to 1793 of the family's 2925-position model. Lineage: Bacteria; Pseudomonadati; Pseudomonadota; Gammaproteobacteria; Vibrionales; Vibrionaceae. The record is from RNAcentral.
UCGGCCUGCGCGGAAGAUGUAACGGGGCUAAGCUAUACACCGAAGCUGCGGCUACGUACCUUAGGGUAUGUGGGGUAGGGGAGCGUUCUGUAAGCCGUUGAAGGUGGUCUGUAAGGGCUGCUGGAGGUAUCAGAAGUGCGAAUGCUGACAUGAGUAACGAUAAAGGGAGUGAAAAACUCCCUCGCCGGAAGACCAAGGGUUCCUGUCCAACGUUAAUCGGGGCAGGGUAAGUCGACUCCUAAGGCGAGGCCGAAAGGCGUAGUCGAUGGGAAACAGGUUAAUAUUCCUGUACUUCUUACAAUUGCGAUGGGGGGACGGAGAAGGCUAGGUGGGCCUGGCGACGGUUGUCCAGGUUCAAGUAYGUAGGCGGGUGGUUUAGGUAAAUCCGGACCGCUACUAACGCUGAGAUACGAUGUCGAGCUACUACGGUAGUUAAGUCAUUGAUGCCAUGCUUCCAGGAAAAGCCUCUAAGCUUCAGAUUGUAAGGAAUCGUACCCCAAACCGACACAGGUGGUCGGGUAGAGAAUACCAAGGCGCUUGAGAGAACUCGGGUGAAGGAACUAGGCAAAAUGGUACCGUAACUUCGGGAGAAGGUACGCUCUUAUCAGUGAAGUCCCUUGCGGAUGGAGCAGACGAGAGUCGCAGAUACCAGGUGG